UUCGUCACACUAUCAUUAACUGAAUCCAUAGGUUAAUGAGGCGAACCGGGGGAACUGAAACAUCUAAGUACCCCGAGGAAAAGAAAUCAACCGAGAUUCCCCCAGUAGCGGCGAGCGAACGGGGAGCAGCCCAGAGCCUGAAUCAGUGUGUGUGUUAGUGGAAGCGUCUGGAAAGGCGCGCGAUACAGGGUGACAGCCCCGUACACAAAAAUGCACAUGCUGUGAGCUCGAUGAGUAGGGCGGGACACGUGGUAUCCUGUCUGAAUAUGGGGGGACCAUCCUCCAAGGCUAAAUACUCCUGACUGACCGAUAGUGAACCAGUACCGUGAGGGAAAGGCGAAAAGAACCCCGGCGAGGGGAGUGAAAAAGAACCUGAAACCGUGUACGUACAAGCAGUGGGAGCACAGAGCAAUCUGUGUGACUGCGUACCUUUUGUAUAAUGGGUCAGCGACUUAUAUUCUGUAGCAAGGUUAACCGAAUAGGGGAGCCGAAGGGAAACCGAGUCUUAACUGGGCGUUAAGUUGCAGGGUAUAGACCCGAAACCCGGUGAUCUAGCCAUGGGCAGGUUGAAGGUUGGGUAACACUAACUGGAGGACCGAACCGACUAAUGUUGAAAAAUUAGCGGAUGACUUGUGGCUGGGGGUGAAAGGCCAAUCAAACCGGGAGAUAGCUGGUUCUCCCCGAAAGCUAUUUAGGUAGCGCCUCGUGAAUUCAUCUCCGGGGGUAGAGCACUGUUUCGGCAAGGGGGUCAUCCCGACUUACCAACCCGAUGCAAACUGCGAAUACCGGAGAAUGUUAUCACGGGAGACACACGGCGGGUGCUAACGUCCGUCGUGAAGAGGGAAACAACCCAGACCGCCAGCUAAGGUCCCAAAGUCAUGGUUAAGUGGGAAACGAUGUGGGAAGGCCCAGACAGCCAGGAUGUUGGCUUAGAAGCAGCCAUCAUUUAAAGAAAGCGUAAUAGCUCACUGGUCGAGUCGGCCUGCGCGGAAGAUGUAACGGGGCUAAACCAUG
RNAcentral lists this ribosomal RNA (1014 nucleotides) under Escherichia coli. RNAcentral describes it as "partial 23S ribosomal RNA". It matches the Rfam family "Bacterial large subunit ribosomal RNA", at positions 139 to 1191 of the family's 2925-position model. The record is from RNAcentral. Lineage: Bacteria; Pseudomonadati; Pseudomonadota; Gammaproteobacteria; Enterobacterales; Enterobacteriaceae.